Polypterus senegalus (gray bichir) is the source of this 265-nucleotide long non-coding RNA. RefSeq lists it as uncharacterized. NCBI's taxonomy places the organism in Eukaryota, Metazoa, Chordata, Cladistia, Polypteriformes, Polypteridae. The record is from RefSeq and is a predicted model, not a curated record. The transcript is spliced from 3 exons.
UUCAGAAUUGAACAUUUUCGUGCCACACGCUGGGCUGCCUUGAACAGAAUGAAGAGAUGUUAUACACAGCUGGAGACAGCUAUCAGGGUACUGGCUUCAUCUUAGAAGAUUUGAUGCAGUGGGUCUCGUGGCAAGUUUGGGUGUCUGCUUUCACUCAAACAUCUCGGGCAGCUGCACAGGACUUUAAUCAGGUGGCAGAACACCACAGAAGAACCAGAAAAGAAAGCAGACAAAAGCGGCCUGCACCACCACCAUCUACUCAAAG